GUUAUUCAAGGCUACGUCUUUUGAAGGUUAUUAUAUUGCUUAUUAAGAAUUUGUGCUCAUCCAAAGAGACUGAUAAGCGGAAGUUGCGUGUCGGGUUAGCCUUAUUAUUGAAGGUUUUGUCAUAUUUCAAACCAAACUUUGAAUAU
Molecule: non-coding RNA, 146 nt
Organism: Bombyx mori (domestic silkworm)
Lineage: Eukaryota; Metazoa; Arthropoda; Insecta; Lepidoptera; Bombycidae
Source: RefSeq, marked provisional